CACAAACCGUCAGUACCAACCCGUACUCCACUCCAUCAUAGGUGGAACACAAACCGUCACUACAAACCCGUACUCCACUUCAUCAUAGGUGCACAAACCGUCAGUACCAACUCGUACUCCACUCCAUCAUAGGUGGUCACAAACCGUCAGUACCAACCCGUACUCCACUCCAUCAUAGGUGGAACACAAACCGUCAGUACCAACCCGUACUCCACUCCAUCAUAGGUGGUCACAAACCGUCACUACCAACCCGUACUCCACUCCAUCAUAGGUGGUUACAAACCGUCACUACCAACCCGUACUCUACUCCAUCAUAGGUGGUCACAAACCGUCACUACCAACCCGUACUCCACUCCAUCAUAGGUGGAACACAAACCGUCACUACCAACCCGUACUCCACUCCAUCAUAGGUGGUCACAAACCGUCACCACCAACCCGUACUCCACUCCAUCAUAGGUGGAACACAAACCGUCACCACCAACCCGUACUCUACACCAUCAUAGGUGGAACACAAACCGUCACUACCAACCCGUACUCCACUCCAUCAUAGGUGGAACACAAACCGUUACCACCAACCCGUACUCCACUCCAUCAUAGGUGGUCACAAACCGUCACCACCAACCCGUACUCCACUCCAUCAUAGGUGGAACACAAACCGUCACCACCAACCCGUACUCCACUCCAUCAUAGGUGGA
Molecule: long non-coding RNA, 695 nt
Organism: Pecten maximus
Lineage: Eukaryota; Metazoa; Mollusca; Bivalvia; Pectinida; Pectinidae
Exons: 2
Source: RefSeq, a predicted model, not a curated record